UAGGGUAGUAGUUCAAUGGUAGAACGACGCACUGUUAAUGCGUAUGUUGCAGGUUCGAGUCCUGCCUUCCCUGCCAU
RNAcentral lists this transfer RNA (77 nucleotides) under Brevibacillus phage Jenst. Its description in RNAcentral is "tRNA-Asn". It matches the Rfam family "tRNA". Rfam says of the family: Transfer RNA (tRNA) molecules are approximately 80 nucleotides in length. Their secondary structure includes four short double-helical elements and three loops (D, anti-codon, and T loops). The record is from RNAcentral. RNAcentral also lists the same sequence under 1 other name. Lineage: Duplodnaviria; Heunggongvirae; Uroviricota; Caudoviricetes.